Molecule: ribosomal RNA, 403 nt
Filed under: uncultured bacterium
Lineage: Bacteria
Description: partial 16S ribosomal RNA
Rfam family: Bacterial small subunit ribosomal RNA
Source: RNAcentral
AUUGAACGCUGGCGGCAGGCCUAACACAUGCAAGUCGAGCGAGCGGCGGACGGGUGAGUAAUGUAUGGGGACUGCCCGAUAGAGGGGGAUAACUACUGGAAACGCUGGCUAAUAUCGCAUCCGGUCGGAUAACCCAUAUGGGAUUAGCUAGUAGGUAAGGUAAUGGCCUACCUAGGCGACGAUCCCUAGCUGGUCUGAGAGGAUGAUCAGCCACACUGGGACUGAUACACGGCCCAGACUCCUACGGAGGCAGCAGUGGGGAUUAUUGCACAAUGGGCGCAAGCCUGAUACAGCCAUGCCGCGUGUAUGAAGAAGGCCCUAGGGGUGUAAAGUACUUUCAGUCGGGAGGCGUUACCGACAGAAGAAGCACCGGCUAACUCCGUGCCAGCAGCCGCGGUAAUAC